RNAcentral lists this ribosomal RNA (483 nucleotides) under uncultured bacterium. RNAcentral's name for it is "partial 16S ribosomal RNA". It matches the Rfam family "Bacterial small subunit ribosomal RNA", at positions 30 to 507 of the family's 1533-position model. The record is from RNAcentral.
UUGAACGCUGGCGGCAGGCCUAAUACAUGCAAGUCGAGCGGAUGAAGGGAGCUUGCUCCUGGAUUCAGCGGCGGACGGGUGAGUAAUGCCUAGGAAUCUGCCUGGUAGUGGGGGAUAACGUCCGGAAACGGGCGCUAAUACCGCAUACGUCCUGAGUGAGAAAGUGGGGGAUCUUCGGACCUCACGCUAUCAGAUGAGCCUAGGUCGGAUUAGCUAGUUGGUGGGGUAAAGGCCUACCAAGGCGACGAUCCGUAACUGGUCUGAGAGGAUGAUCAGUCACACUGGAACUGAGACACGGUCCAGACUCCUACGGGAGGCAGCAGUGGGGAAUAUUGGACAAUGGGCGAAAGCCUGAUCCAGCCAUGCCGCGUGUGUGAAGAAGGUCUUCGGAUUGUAAAGCACUUUAAGUUGGGAGGAAGGGCAGUAAGUUAAUACCUUGCUGUUUUGACGUUACCAACAGAAUAAGCACCGGCUAACUUCGUG